This 808-nucleotide ribosomal RNA is filed under the name uncultured organism. RNAcentral describes it as "bacterial SSU rRNA". It matches the Rfam family "Bacterial small subunit ribosomal RNA", at positions 25 to 828 of the family's 1533-position model. The record is from RNAcentral.
CAGAACGAACGCUGACGGCGCGUCUUAAGCAUGCAAGUCGAACGAGAAAGUAUCCUUCGGGGUACAAGUAAAGUGGCGAACGGGUGAGUAACACGUGGGUAAUCUGCCCUGAAGUUGGGGACAACUCGCUGAAAAGCGAGCUAAUACCGAAUGAGAUAGUCUUUACAUAUGUGAGGAUUAUGAAAGGUUUCGGCCGCUUCAGGAUGAGCCUGCGGUCUAUUAGCUAGUUGGUGAGGUAAAUGCUCACCAAGGCUACGAUAGAUAGCCGGCCUGAGAGGGUGUACGGUCACAUUGGAACUGAGACACGGUCCAGACUCCUACGGGAGGCAGCAGCUAAGAAUAUUCCGCAAUGGGCGAAAGCCUGACGGAGCGACGCCGUGUAGUUGAUGAAGGCCUUACAGGUUGUAAAAACCUUUUAUUCGAGAAGAUGGGCAAGCCUCGAGCUUGCUUGACGGUAUCGAACGAAUAAGCCCCGGCAAAUUACGUGCCAGCAGCCGCGGUAAUACGUAAGGGGCUAGCGUUGUUCGGAAUUAUUGGGCGUAAAGGGCGUGCAGGCGGACUGAUAAGUCGGGUGUGAAAUCUUAUGGCUUAACCAUGAGCUAUUGCUCGAAACUGUUAGUCUAGAGUUUGGAAUAGGGAGACGGAAUUCCUAGUGUAGGAGUGAAAUCUAUAGAUAUUAGGAAGAACACCGGUGGCGAAGGCGGUCUCCUGGUCUAAAACUGACGCUAAAGCGCGAAAGCUAGGGUAGCAAACGGGAUUAGAUACCCCGGUAGUCCUAGCCGUAAACGUUGCAUACUAGGUGUAUGAG